Molecule: transfer RNA, 83 nt
Filed under: Myxococcales bacterium
Lineage: Bacteria; Pseudomonadati; Myxococcota; Myxococcia; Myxococcales
Also listed under: 1 other name
Description: tRNA-Tyr
Rfam family: tRNA
About the family: Transfer RNA (tRNA) molecules are approximately 80 nucleotides in length.
Source: RNAcentral
GGAGGGUUGCCCGAGCGGCCAAAGGGAGCGGACUGUAAAUCCGCCGGAAAUUUCCUACGUUGGUUCGAAUCCAACACCCUCCA